AAGAUUACAUUGCCAAUCGAAGACUGACUAGAAAAGGCAAUCCAAAUUCAAGUCAAUUUUGAGAUAAGAAGAACAUAGACUGGAAGAGCACUAGUAAAUUGCCCUGCAUGUUCUUCAGCGAGCUUGCAUAGAUGUUACUGAGGGGGAAUACAGCUUCAGCAAAAGGAAUUCAGGCAAAGGGAGCGAACAAAGGUGUCUACCCCAAAAUUCCACCACUGGGCCGGGUGAACUGCUUGUUGUAAUAGGUAACUGCAACAAGUGUGACUCUUGUCAAGGAAAACCAAAUCAGCAGUGCCAGUCCAAGUUUGUCUUGGUUUUGCCACCAAGUAGGCUAAGCUUAAGAUGGUAGCAGAAGAAGAGGAAAGUGCCAUGAAACCUAUCUGGAAUGAAGCCAGUGAUUCUGAGGAUGAUCAGUGUGGUAUGCAGAAAGUUUGGGGAAUGAUUCUCUAAAGAGUUAAAUUACUAUCUAAAAAGUGUCAAUUGUCCUUUCAAACUGUAUAUUCAAAAAUGAAUCUGUUCUACAAA
Daphnia carinata is the source of this 525-nucleotide long non-coding RNA. RefSeq lists it as uncharacterized. NCBI's taxonomy places the organism in Eukaryota, Metazoa, Arthropoda, Branchiopoda, Diplostraca, Daphniidae. The transcript has 3 exons. The record is from RefSeq and is a predicted model, not a curated record.